AGUGAACGCUGGCGGUAGGCCUAACACAUGCAAGUCGAACGGCAGCACAGAGGAGCUUGCUCCUUGGGUGGCGAGUGGCGGACGGGUGAGGAAUACAUCGGAAUCUACUCUGUCGUGGGGGAUAACGUAGGGAAACUUACGCUAAUACCGCAUACGACCUACGGGUGAAAGCAGGGGAUCUUCGGACCUUGCGCGAUUGAAUGAGCCGAUGUCGGAUUAGCUAGUUGGCGGGGUAAAGGCCCACCAAGGCGACGAUCCGUAGCUGGUCUGAGAGGAUGAGCAGCCCCACUGGAACUGAGACACGGUCCAGACUCCUACGGGAGGCAGCAGUGGGGAAUAUUGGACAAUGGGCGCAAGCCUGAUCCAGCCAUACCGCGUGGGUGAAGAAGGCCUUCGGGUUGUAAAGCCCUUUUGUUGGGAAAGAAAUCCAUCUGGUUAAUACCCGGAUGGGAUGACGGUACCCAAAGAAUAAGCACCGGCUAACUUCGUGCCAGCCGCCGCAGUAA
This 506-nucleotide ribosomal RNA is filed under the name uncultured bacterium. Its description in RNAcentral is "partial 16S ribosomal RNA". It matches the Rfam family "Bacterial small subunit ribosomal RNA", at positions 29 to 523 of the family's 1533-position model. The record is from RNAcentral.